Molecule: ribosomal RNA, 2926 nt
Filed under: Methanoculleus thermophilus
Lineage: Archaea; Methanobacteriati; Methanobacteriota; Methanomicrobia; Methanomicrobiales; Methanomicrobiaceae
Description: bacterial LSU rRNA
Rfam family: Archaeal large subunit ribosomal RNA
Source: RNAcentral
GAACGGCGAUAUGCCUGUCAGUGGAUGGCUCGGUUCGAGGGCCGAAGAAGGGCGUGCCAAGCUGCGAUAAGCUCCGGGAAGACGCAUGGAGUCUACGAUCCGGAGAUCCCCGAAUGGGACAUCCCAGCACUUCGGUGUUGAUCCGUUAAGGAUCGGGAACCCCCCGAAUUGAAACAUCUUAGUAGGGGGAGGAAGAGAAAUCAAUCGAGAUGUCGCUAGUAGAGGCGAUCGAACACGACAGAGUUCAAACUGAAUCCCGCAAGGGAGAUGUGGUGUCGUAAGCCUGCCGUCCCGGGUCACGUGACCAAGUGGCAGUCCUCUGGAAUGAGGCACUAGAGAGGGUGAUAGUCCCGUACACGUUCGUCACGUGACUCUGGCAGUGUCUUGAGUACCGCGGGUCGGAAUUCUCGCGGGAAUCCGGGGGUCAUCAACCUCCAAAACUAAAUACCCCUCGAAACCGAUAGCGCAUUAGUAGCGUGAGCGAAGGCUGAAAAGUAACCCUGGAACGGUGGUGAAAAGCGCCUGAAACUGAUAGGUGAUGGCGCGUUACGGCGCGAAAGGAUCUUCGCCGCGAAGAAACCCGUCGCGAGGCGGUAGUACGGGCGGCGUUGCCAGUGUCGUAACGUACGUUUUGAAGAACGGGCCAGAGAGUUUAUUCUGCAGGCGAGGUUAACCCAAAAGGGAAGCCAAAGGGAAACCAACAAGUCCGUAGCCUCCGGGCAUGGGACGGCGUAUUAAAAGUGCGUGGAGUCUGCAGGAUAAGACCCGAAGCCUAGCGAUCUAUGCGUGGGCAGGUCGAAGCGUGCUGAAAGGCGCGUGGAGGACCGCAAACGGUUUUGAUAUGCAAAUCAUUCGCGUGACCUGCGUAUAGGAGUGAAAGAUUAAUCGAGCUGGGCAUCCGCUGGUUCCUCUCGAAACAUGCCGUAGCAUGACCUGGCCGGAGAUAGACGGUGAGGUAGAGCACUGAUUGGGGGAGCUGGGGGAGAAAUCCCUCACCCCCCUGUCAAACUCCAAAUUCCCCGUCGUCGAAGAUGGCCGGCAGUCCGGACUACGGGGUAAGCUUGUAGUCCGUAAGGGAGACAACCCAGACCGUGGUUAAUGUCCCUCAAUGUAGGCUCAGUGUCAACACUGAAAGGCGUCCCAGGCCAAAGACAACUGGAAGGUGAGCUCAGAAGCAGCUAUCCUUUAAAAAGUGCGUAACAGCUUACCAGUCGAGGUUUGGGGCACUGAAAAUGGACGGGGCUUAAGCCUACUACAGAGACCACGGACCACACGUUCGUGUGAUGGCGUAGAGAGGCGUGCUGCCUGGGCCGAAGCAGGGCCGUAAGGUCCUGUGGACCGGGUAGUAAUGAGAAUUCUGGCAUUAGUAGAAGCAAAGUUGGGUGAGAAUCCCAACCGCCGGAGGGGCUAGGUUUCCUCGGCAAUGUUCGUCAGCCGAGGGUUAGUCGGUCCUAAGGUGUGUCGUAACUCGAACACAUCGAAAGGGAAACAGGUUAAUAUUCCUGUACCGUGCAUCCAUUGCGGGUAACCGCCCUGACGCUUCGGGAUAUGCCGGGCAGGGUCGUCGCCCUGUCCAAGCGUUCAACCUCGUGGAGUACCGUCAUGGUGAGAAGCGAGGGAAGACGUGAUGGAGUAAUUCGGCAAAUUCCUGGAGCCCGUGAAAAGGGGGAUGCAAUGACCGUACCGAGAUCUGACACAGGUGCCCCUAGCUGAAAAGGCUAAGGCGUGUCGGUGUAAUCGUGUUAAGGGAACUCGGCAAAUUAGCCCCGUAACUUCGGGAGAAGGGGUGCCUGCCUGGCGAUCAGGCAGGUCGCAGUGACCAGGGGGCUCUGACUGUCUAAUAACAACAUAGGUGACUGCAACUCGGAAACGAUUAGUAUAGUCACUGAUUCCUGCCCAGUGCGAGUAUCUGAAUCCCGGGUUCAACCGGACGAAGGACUCGUAAACGGCGGGGGUAACUAUGACCCUCUUAAGGUAGCGUAGUACCUUGUCGCUUAAUUGGCGACUUGCAUGAAUGGAUUAACGAGAGCCCUACUGUCCCUAACACGAAUCCGUUGAACAUUUUGUCCUAGUGCAGAGACUAGGGACUCCAGAUGGGAAGUGAAGACCCCGUGGAGCUUUACUGCAGCCUGUUGCUGUGUUACGGUAUUCCUUGCGCAGCGUAGAUGGGAGGCGUCGAACCAUCCCUUCCGGGGGGUGGGGAGCCACCGAUGAGACACCAUCCUUGGUUUACUGUAACACUAACUCUCGUUCCGAGAGGACACCGGUAGGUAGGCAGUUUGGGUGGGGCGCCACACCCUCGAAAAAAUAUCAAGGGUGCCCUAAGGUCAACUCAUGUGAGUCAGAAACUCACAGGAGAGUGUCAAGAGCAUAAGUUGGCCUGACGCGAUUUCGCAGAGCAAGAAAUCGCGAGAGGAAACUCGGGUCUAACGAACCAAUGAGCCUUGUUGAUGAGGGCCAUUGACGACAGAAAAGCUACCCCGGGGAUAACAGAGUCGUCGCCGGCAAGAGCACAUAUCGACCCGGCGGCUUGCUACCUCGAUGUCGGUUCUUUCCAUCCUGGCCGUGCAGCAGCGGCCAAGGGUGAGGUUGUUCGCCUAUUAAAGGGGAUCGUGAGCUGGGUUUAGACCGUCGUGAGACAGGUCGGUUACUAUCUAUCUGGAGUGUUUGGAGUCUGAAGGUAAGAUGGAAAUAGUACGAGAGGAACUUUCCGUCGCCGCCUCUGGUCGAUCGGUUGUCCGACCGGGCACUGCCGAGCAGCUACGCGGUAAGGGAUAAAAGCUGAAAGCAUCUAAGCUUGAAACCCGCCCUGAAAAGAGACUCCGUUAAGGACACGGGUAAAAGACCCGCUUGAUAGGUCCGGGAUGUAAGCACGAAGGUAACGACGUGUUCAGUCCGCGGAUACUAACGUCCAAUGCCAUCCGCU